GUAUGCACAGCAGGGCGCACGGAUAGACGCAGACUCAUAACGGGUCUCCAACUUUUGUCAUGUGAAGGCCUGCCCUAACACACCAAGGUGGACCAAAGACGCUGACAAAGAGGGUCAUACACUGGACAGGAGAGUUGUCCACCGAAGUCCACUGUCACCCCAUUUGCCUGGCGUGAGCUUUGACCAAUCAAAACGGUGCUCACACGAUGGACUACCCUGCUGGAGGUUUCACACAUGACGCCAUUGACUGGUCCACAUCCCACUACAGGAAAGUCAGGACAAUGCUCCGCGCCACACAGCUUGGUCAAUUUUAGUGUCUGGGUGGAGGAACACCAGAUCAAGACCCUGUCAUGGCCAGCCCAAUCUCCAGGCCUGAGUCCCAUGAAAUGUGAUCAAAAUGAAGAGAGGUGAUCACAAGCCAUCAGACAAACUCAGCAACUUGAAUCUUUGCACUGUGAGUGGAAUUAAGUCAUCCAAGAAUGAUGUGAAGGACUUGUAGAGAGCAUGCAUGCAUGAAAGCAGUCAUUAAAAUCCAGGGUUAUUCUUCCAAAUAUUGAUUUCUGAACUUCUCCUUAGUUGAUACAUUACUAUUAAUUUGUUUUUGUUUAGUUUGCACUUUUUAAGGUCUGAAACAUUGCAUCUUUUAUGUCAUUUUGACCAUUUGUAACUCUCUGCAAAUAAAUGCUCUAAAUGACAAUAUUUUUAAUUCGGAAUUCAGAGGAAAUCGCAGUAGUUUCUACAAUGAAACUGAAUUCUUCAAACUUCAUUUUACUGAAACACAUGCCUAUCAGAAGUAAAACCAGAAAAAAAUGUCAUUUUUGAGGUGGUCUCAAUUUUUCUGCGGCUGUAUACACACACAGACACAUAUGUGACGGAGGUCAUCUUGCACCUGUUCACCCCCCUCGGGGAUCGAACGUGCGACCUCGUCAACUACAACGGUUCGGCAAUGGGAGACACAGUACGAUACCGCUGGGCCAAGAGACUAGUCUCUCGGCCCAACGGCACGAGACUGUAUGAAGCUAUCGGAGGGAGGUUUACCAACGUUCCACGCCAACUCUGUGCUAGUUAGCCUCCGUUACACUCUCCCCCUUAAACCUCACUCCCAUCCGGGUCACGGCACCACUGUGACGGAGGUCAUCUUGCACCUGUUCACCCCCCUCGGGGAUCGAACGUGCGACCUCGUCAACUACAACGGUUCGGCAAUGGGAGACACAGUACGAUACCGCUGGGCCAAGAGACUAGUCCCUCGGCCCAACGGCACGAGACUGUAUGAAGCUAUCGGAGGGAGGUUUACCAACGUUCCACGCCAACU
Molecule: long non-coding RNA, 1312 nt
Organism: Engraulis encrasicolus (European anchovy)
Lineage: Eukaryota; Metazoa; Chordata; Actinopteri; Clupeiformes; Engraulidae
Exons: 3
Source: RefSeq, a predicted model, not a curated record